GAUGAACGCUGGCGGCGUGCCUAAUACAUGCAAGUCGAGCGAACAGACGAGGAGCUUGCUCCUCUGACGUUAGCGGCGGACGGGUGAGUAACACGUGGAUAACCUACCUAUAAGACUGGGAUAACUUCGGGAAACCGGAGCUAAUACCGGAUAACAUGUUGAACCGCAUGGUUCAACAGUGAAAGACGGUCUUGCUGUCACUUAUAGAUGGAUCCGCGCCGCAUUAGCUAGUUGGUAAGGUAACGGCUUACCAAGGCAACGAUGCGUAGCCGACCUGAGAGGGUGAUCGGCCACACUGGAACUGAGACACGGUCCAGACUCCUACGGGAGGCAGCAGUGGGGAAUCUUCCGCAAUGGGCGAAAGCCUGACGGAGCAACGCCGCGUGAGUGAAGAAGGUCUUCGGAUCGUAAAACUCUUUUAUUAGGGAAGAACAAAUGUGUAAGUAACUAUGCACGUCUUGACGGUACCUAAUCAAAAAGCCCCGGCUAACUACGUG
This 497-nucleotide ribosomal RNA is filed under the name uncultured bacterium. Its description in RNAcentral is "partial 16S ribosomal RNA". It matches the Rfam family "Bacterial small subunit ribosomal RNA", at positions 28 to 507 of the family's 1533-position model. The record is from RNAcentral.